ACAGGGUUGCCUACCCCUGACCUAGCCUAUCAGAGGGCAAGUUGGAGCUAAUACCAUAUUGCUCCACUCUAGGGGUCAGUUUGGGAUUGGGCCGUGAUGUGUGUGAGAUGUUGUAUCCAGGGACUGACUUAGACCUGGGACACCCAAGUGGGUACAAUUUAAUUAUCAGGUGGAACAGAAAACCAGCUGGCUCUGGACCUCAUAGGUAUACCACAGCUCUCUGCCUGGCUGGCUGGAGCCCAAGUCAGAUGUGGACUGGAUUCCACCUACAAGGCUUCGGCCCACACCGCUGCUGCCCUGAAGCCAGAACUACAGACCUCCUACUGCUGGUGACUAGCUGAUCAGGAACAGGAAGUCUGGUUCCCUGAAGCCAGAACUACAGACCUCCUACUGCUGGUGACUAGCUGAUCAGGAACAGGAAGUCUGGUUCCCUGAAGCCAGAACUACAGACCUCCUACUGCUGGUGACUAGCUGAUCAGGAACAGGAAGUCUGGUUCACACGCCUGUGAAAGGUAGUCUUGUAAUGUUGUGGACAUCUUCCUUCAUAAACUAUGCUGGCUCCUUGUAGAAUGGAUCAUCUCUCCAUGUGAAAACCUAGUAGCCAUAAGGGUGGGCGUGUUCCACACAGCAGUGUCCUCCACUGAAUACGUCCCAUUAUGAGACAUCUAGGAAACUUCAUGAAAAUGUUCCCUGGUGUUAUUUUCCAGCAGCAACUGACCAUUUCAAUUAUACUUCCCAUGUGAGAAGAAGGGCUUGUGUCCUUCACCAGGCCUUUGUUCAGUUUCAUACAGUCUGAAUUGGUGUUACAUGACUUGUAGGUUUGGUAUGUGAGGCUAUUGAUUUUGUUUGGUAACAAAUAUUUCCAUGAUGAUUGUGAUAAAAAAAAAAAAAAGUAAUCAUCAUUCUUUGUUUUUUGUGAUUAAUUUCACUAUAUCACCUGAAGUGUAGAUGCAGUCAUACAGUCCCUGUAGAAUGUCUACAGCCCCUUGGAUUUAUUCACAUUUCAAUGUGUUAAAAUGGGAUUAAAAAUGAUACUUUUUUGUUUUAUUUCUGCAAGCUACACUUUUUUUUUUUUUUUUUAAAGAUGAUUGAAAAAUAAAACAUCUUGAUUAGAUAAAAUGCCAUCUACACACAAUACAAUAUAAUAAAGUGAAAACAUGUUUGUAGAACAUUUAGUCAAUUUAUUGAAUUGAAAAAUGGAAAUAUUUGCCAUGUGUUUUGCUGUAUUACUUUAGUGUCUUAUUGCAUACAAGAUGCAUGUUCUGGAAUAUGUGUAUUCCUGUAUAUUUGUAUUCUUCUUUUCACUCUGUCAAU
Long non-coding RNA from Salvelinus fontinalis (brook trout), 1314 nucleotides. RefSeq lists it as uncharacterized. The transcript has 3 exons. Lineage: Eukaryota; Metazoa; Chordata; Actinopteri; Salmoniformes; Salmonidae. The record is from RefSeq and is a predicted model, not a curated record.